RNAcentral lists this ribosomal RNA (497 nucleotides) under uncultured bacterium. Its description in RNAcentral is "partial 16S ribosomal RNA". It matches the Rfam family "Bacterial small subunit ribosomal RNA", at positions 28 to 507 of the family's 1533-position model. The record is from RNAcentral.
GAUGAACGCUGGCGGCGUGCCUAAUACAUGCAAGUCGAGCGAACAGAUGAGGAGCUUGCUCCUCUGACGUUAGCGGCGGACGGGUGAGUAACACGUGGAUAACCUACCUAUAAGGCUGGGAUAACUUCGGGAAACCGGAGCUAAUACCGGAUAAUAUAUUGAACCGCAUGGUUCAAUAGUGAAAGACGGUUUUGCUGUCACUUAUAGAUGGAUCCGCGCCGCAUUAGCUAGUUGGUAAGGUAACGGCUUACCAAGGCAACGAUGCGUAGCCGACCUGAGAGGGUGAUCGGCCACACUGGAACUGAGACACGGUCCAGACUCCUACGGGAGGCAGCAGUAGGGAAUCUUCCGCAAUGGGGGAAAGCCUGACGGAGCAACGCCGCGUGAGUGAUGAAGGUCUUCGGAUCGUAAAACUCUGUUAUUAGGGAAGAACAAAUGUGUAAGUAACUAUGCACGUCUUGACGGUAACUAAUCAGAAAGCCACGGCUAACUACGUG